Long non-coding RNA from Corticium candelabrum, 399 nucleotides. RefSeq lists it as uncharacterized. Lineage: Eukaryota; Metazoa; Porifera; Homoscleromorpha; Homosclerophorida; Plakinidae. The transcript is spliced from 5 exons. The record is from RefSeq and is a predicted model, not a curated record.
GUGUAGAGCAGACUACAGCGAUUUGCCGUAUUAUUUUGGAACUACUGAAACAGCAAGACAUAUGAGAAGUAUUUUGUAUUCAUUAUCAAUUAUUGCUUCUGUUGUGCAAAAUGGAUGUGGACAUGGGAAAACUGAGGUUGAGGUCAAUUUGUAGGAGUCAGUGUGGGCCCGUGGUUAAAGGGGAUUGUGAGGUUUGAUGGAUUCAACUCGUUGCGUGUUAUUCUCCGUGUGUGCAAGUUUGUAGAAAGUUGCACUUGCGUUUCCAGAAGAAGGCACGCUCACUGCAAUUCUGUGAUGUGUUUAGUCCAUGGAAGAGAUCUUAGUCUGACAGGAUUGUUGGAAUGUGGGCUGAUAUGCUUAGAAAGAAAAGAUUGUAUGAGGUGAUAUCUUGGCUCUUUC